RNAcentral lists this small RNA (583 nucleotides) under Pan troglodytes (chimpanzee). RNAcentral describes it as "retained intron". Lineage: Eukaryota; Metazoa; Chordata; Mammalia; Primates; Hominidae. The record is from RNAcentral.
UCCGUUGCUUGGAUCAGUCUAGGUAUAGCUGCCCGAUCCUUCAGCGUCCGCAUCUCGGCGUCGCCCCGCGUACCGUCGCCCGGCUCUCCGCUGCUCUCCCGGGGGUUCGGGGGCACUUGGGUCCCACAGUCUGGUCCUGCUGCACCUUCCCCUGACCUGAGUAGUCGCCAUGGCACAGGUUCUCAGAGGCACUGUGACUGACUUCCCUGGAUUUGAUGAGCGGGCUGAUGCAGAAACUCUUCGGAAGGCCAUGAAAGGCUUGGGAUCUUCUGGAUGACCUGAAAUCAGAACUAACUGGAAAAUUUGAAAAAUUAAUUGUGGCUCUGAUGAAACCCUCUCGGCUUUAUGAUGCUUAUGAACUGAAACAUGCCUUGAAGGGAGCUGGAACAAAUGAAAAAGUACUGACAGAAAUUAUUGCUUCAAGGACACCUGAAGAACUGAGAGCCAUCAAACAAGUUUAUGAAGAAGGUAAACGUUUGUGAGUUAUAUUUUGACUUCACCUCUACUAUCACUUCCUUCAUUUAUGUGAUUUGAAUGCAGUCCUUUGUAGGUAUGGGAGGCACGCAGUAAAUGAUGGUUGAAU